AUGGUCAUUGAGGACACACCUUCACUUGUAGUUGAUCAAGAAGGUCCAACAAGAAUCAACGUCAUUUCUGCACCGAAAUUGACAGUGGUGGGCUACUCGUUUGACAAAUACUCCAAAUUUGUUAUUGGAUCCACAUCUGUUCAGAUAAGAUUAGGCCCAGUGGUCGAUAAUGUGAUACAACAUAAUAAUCACAUCGAAUGCCUAGAUCUGCAUCUCUCAGAAAUUACUUUGAACUCCUAUCGAGGGACCUUACAGGAGAUUAUAUUCGCCAGGUUCUUUGUUGUCAGAGCAAGGGUGCUAAAGGUAAUGAGGUUUGCCCUACAUUUAUUUCGCAAAAAAAUGGUUUGUCGAUUAGCGUCGGUGGCUGCGGCAGAAUGGAAUAGGCUCCGAAAAUGCUGA
Molecule: ribosomal RNA, 399 nt
Filed under: Triticum aestivum (bread wheat)
Lineage: Eukaryota; Viridiplantae; Streptophyta; Magnoliopsida; Poales; Poaceae
Description: partial small subunit ribosomal RNA
Source: RNAcentral